CGCAUAGCUCAGUUGGUUUAGAGCACCUGCCUUACAAGCAGGGGGUCGGCGGUUCAAAUCCGUCUGCGCC
This 70-nucleotide transfer RNA is filed under the name bovine gut metagenome. It matches the Rfam family "tRNA". From Rfam's summary of the family: Transfer RNA (tRNA) molecules are approximately 80 nucleotides in length. Their secondary structure includes four short double-helical elements and three loops (D, anti-codon, and T loops). The record is from RNAcentral.